RNAcentral lists this ribosomal RNA (274 nucleotides) under uncultured bacterium. RNAcentral describes it as "partial 16S ribosomal RNA". It matches the Rfam family "Bacterial small subunit ribosomal RNA", at positions 523 to 796 of the family's 1533-position model. The record is from RNAcentral.
AUACGGAGGGUGCAAACGUUGCUCGGAAUUAUUGGGCGUAAAGCGCGCGUAGGCGGCUUGAUAAGUCGGAUGUGAAAGCCCUCGGCUCAACCGGGGAAGUGCAUUCGAAACUGUCAAGCUUGAGUAUGGGAGAGGAUUGCGGAAUUCCCGGUGUAGAGGUGAAAUUCGUAGAUAUCGGGAGGAACACCAGCGGCGAAGGCGGCAAUCUGGACCAAUACUGACGCUGAGGUGCGAAAGCGUGGGGAGCAAACAGGAUUAGAAACCCCAGUAGUCC